Molecule: long non-coding RNA, 437 nt
Filed under: Gossypium barbadense (sea-island cotton)
Lineage: Eukaryota; Viridiplantae; Streptophyta; Magnoliopsida; Malvales; Malvaceae
Description: long non-coding RNA (GBAR_LNC008036)
Source: RNAcentral
AUAUUUUAUUCUGCCUCUAACUCAUUUUCCACUAUUUUUAGUGUAUUUUCAAAGUUACACUACUGCAGUAACUCAAAUCUGUCAAGGCUAAAUUACUCAUUCAUGAUCAUUGUUCACAAAAUUAAUACAACAUCAUUUGUAUAAUCAUCACCGAGACAUUCAUAUCACAUUUUCAUUUACAAUCUUACCAUUUUGUUGUUAUGUCGAGUUUUCAACCCGAGGGUUAAGUACAUACCUGUUCAAAGUAUCCAUUUCACAACAUUUAUCAAUACGUCCCUUUCAUCUCGAGUAUUCCUCCAUUUGAGUAGAAUUUUACCCAUUGAACACAUCGGAAUAUAAUUCGGAUACAUGGAAAGUUUGCACAUAAGUGCCACAUAUGUAGCCAAGCUACCAUGUAACCCGCCCAUAAGUGAACUCGGACUCAACUCAACGAGCUC